UAAGAAUGAAUAGAAGCGACU
RNAcentral lists this non-coding RNA (21 nucleotides) under Caenorhabditis elegans. The record is from RNAcentral. Lineage: Eukaryota; Metazoa; Nematoda; Chromadorea; Rhabditida; Rhabditidae.